Small nucleolar RNA from Sorex fumeus (smoky shrew), 141 nucleotides. RefSeq annotates it as small nucleolar RNA SNORA29. The transcript has a single exon. The record is from RefSeq and is a predicted model, not a curated record. Lineage: Eukaryota; Metazoa; Chordata; Mammalia; Eulipotyphla; Soricidae.
UUUCCCAUAUGACUGUCACAUUUUCUUUUAUUGGUAGGUUAUGGUGGCUAUGGCUUGUGGGAUAGAGUGAAAUUGCCAUAAUCUGAAAAAGGACUAUUUCCUUGUGUCCUCCUCCUAUGUGAGAUGGCUGAACAACAAAAC